CGGACGGGUGAGUAACGCGUGGAUAACCUGCCCCAUACCGGGGGAUAACAGCCGGAAACGGCUGCUAAUACCGCAUAAGCGCACAGGAAUGCAUAUUCCAGUGUGAAAAACUCCGGUGGUAUGGGAUGGAUCCGCGUCUGAUUAGCUAGUUGGCGGGAUAGAGGCCCACCAAGGCGACGAUCAGUAGCCGACCUGAGAGGGUGGCCGGCCACAUUGGGACUGAGACACGGCCCAGACUCCUACGGGAGGCAGCAG
Molecule: ribosomal RNA, 255 nt
Filed under: uncultured bacterium
Lineage: Bacteria
Description: partial 16S ribosomal RNA
Rfam family: Bacterial small subunit ribosomal RNA
Source: RNAcentral